Regulatory RNA element from Actinospica robiniae DSM 44927, 77 nucleotides. It matches the Rfam family "6C RNA". NCBI's taxonomy places the organism in Bacteria, Bacillati, Actinomycetota, Actinomycetes, Catenulisporales, Actinospicaceae. The record is from Rfam.
CUUGGCCCGGCUCCUCCCCCCCGAGCCGCGCCAGGGUGACGACCCCCGCUCUCCCCCCCCGGCGGGGGUCGUCCUUU